GGGGAUAUAGCUUCAACGGUAGAGCAGCGGACUUCUAAUCUGAUGGUUGUGGGUUCAAAUCCCAUUGUCUCCACCA
Molecule: transfer RNA, 76 nt
Filed under: Pseudomonas aeruginosa
Lineage: Bacteria; Pseudomonadati; Pseudomonadota; Gammaproteobacteria; Pseudomonadales; Pseudomonadaceae
Also listed under: 26 other names
Description: tRNA-Arg
Rfam family: tRNA
About the family: Transfer RNA (tRNA) molecules are approximately 80 nucleotides in length. Their secondary structure includes four short double-helical elements and three loops (D, anti-codon, and T loops).
Source: RNAcentral